Long non-coding RNA from Setaria italica (foxtail millet), 1822 nucleotides. RefSeq lists it as uncharacterized. The record is from RefSeq and is a predicted model, not a curated record. The transcript is spliced from 4 exons. Lineage: Eukaryota; Viridiplantae; Streptophyta; Magnoliopsida; Poales; Poaceae.
UGUACCCUCCCAUAACGUCCAUACCUUAGAUAGGAUUUGGGGGUUUCUGUUUUGGGCAGUAUCUCGCUGUCGACGCCUCGACGGCGACAGCGCGGCGCCUCCGAGAUGGGCUUUCCUUUCAGCACAAGGAGCUGGGUUGACAGUAUGUUUGAAGAGUAUGUUGCUUGUCGAGAGGGCCUCAUCAAAGCAUUUGAUUCAGAUCUGGAGACACUUGUAGAGGAAAGCAAGAAGGUAGGGGAAGACACACCACGUGAGUUAAUAUUUUUAAUUAGCCAGUAUGGUUCCAAACUGGAGAAGUUUGAAAGUUGAGCCACUGACGUACUAUAAUCUCUGAGAUGAACAAAGGAAGUUCCUAUGGGGCCUGGAGGACAAAAGUUGGGAGCUGCUAUGUGCUGUGUAUGGUGAAUCUGAACCACAGCCUCAGCCCCUGUUGGCUUUUGAGGAAGGCCUGCAGCUUGACAAAUGGGUUAGUCAAGUUGCAGACUAUAGCGAUGCCUGGCAUGCUGGUUUCUUAGCCUACAAAUCGUUGUCUUUAAGCAAGCAAGAAAGGAUUGAGCUCAUGGUCAAGAUGAAUGCGCUACCAGGAUUGAAGUAUGUGAUCAGUCUUAAGGACCUGAAACCCGGUCAGUGGGUGCCCGAGUGAAAGUGAAUGCACUGUGGACUACCAGGUUUGAAUUCAGUGAAAGCCAGAGGUGACUGAGAAUGAAGUGGACCUAGGUCUUGCAAUCGGUGGUUUCAAACCUUUUUUUUUCUUCAGAGAAUUAGCAAAGCUCUGCCUCUUGUGAUGAAGUUAGUCUUGCGUGUCAUUCAUUUGAGCAGAAAACCUGCAAGUUUAUACAUUUAUUCACUAGUUCAAAUUAUGGAAGCAUUCAUGGAGUUGUGCCCAUCCGUUGACAGUGACAACCUGAAAGCAAUCCAGAUAGACUAUAUAUGUGACUAAUUUCUUUUCUGUCUAGCAUCUGUUGCACUUCCAACUUACAAGUUCUUCUGGUUCAUUUGUGGUUUCUGUAAACAAAAUUUGGCUUGUUUUUACUUGGCUUGUAGCAGGUGUCCUGAUGGAAAGGCAUGGAACCCUGGAGUCAUGCAGACAUAUAUGCGGUCACAAUCUUGCCCAUCUAAUUAAUAUUCAGCAUUUGCUAAUGCGCGCUAACACCUAGUUGCGUGGACAGAUAACAAAGGUCUACCUUCUAAACCUUCACUUGUUGCCUGAUGGACCUGCUAAUUUAGACAGAGCAUAUUGCAUCAGAUGGCCCACACGCGCCCAUAAAUUGGGUAGGGCUGCUGGUGGAGGGGUCCUUCUCCAUCUCCAAGCACAAAGGUCCAUUUCUUCACACAUCAUGCAGGUUCCCGUUCACAGCAAUGGGCUCUUUGCUGGGCAACAGAGGAAACUUGUGCAAGAAUCAGGAAAGGUUGUGUGGAUGCAAUUGACCUCCAUUACAUUCAUGUGGUCCAUCUCCUGGCUAAAGGAUGUCAAGUGCAGUGCAACUGUCAGGAGGUGAAAUCAUGGAGUGUGUGUAUGUUGAGGUGUCCUGUAGAAACCAUCGGAAUGGAAGGCAGCAGUCAAGGGCAGCGAUCUGGUCCGUCCAACAUGAUCUAUCCUACCGUUCAGAUUUUUACCACUUAUAUAUAUGCUUGAGAAGUUGUGAAUUGUUGUCACUGCCUGUUGUAGACAUGUUUUUUUUUCCUUGCAAGAAAGAAAAAUAAUACCGGCACAGGGUUCUGGAAGCUGGGUAAAUCAAUAGGUUUUGUAGCUGCAUGAUGAUGAAACUGGAGCAUGCAUCUUCUUCUGUCGAAAUCAAGUGUUUGGAACGAUUCUCAUGGA